This 791-nucleotide small RNA is filed under the name Arabidopsis thaliana (thale cress). RNAcentral's name for it is "ATSL096510". The record is from RNAcentral. Lineage: Eukaryota; Viridiplantae; Streptophyta; Magnoliopsida; Brassicales; Brassicaceae.
UUUUGUUUGGAGACCCCCUAUCUACAUACAAGUUUCCCGUUUCUAUUUUUUUGGGUAUUUUUAGGGUCUGAAACUUUUUAUCCAAACUGACCCAAACCCAACUGGAUCCGACCCGAACGAGAACCGAAUAUUUAGAAUUAUUCUAUUAGGUAGUAAAUCAUAUACCCAUUAAUCCCAAAUCCGAACGGGUUCUACCCGAACUCGAAUGGGUUACUCAUAUGUCCAACCCUAUUCUCUGAUUUAAUUAUCUAAAAACUCCAAAAAAACAUAUGUUUUGCUGACUACUUUUUAUUCAAAAAAAUUUACAUCCUCUUCUGCCAAAAUCAUUUCAUAAGACAUCCCAAAACCCUUGGAAUAAUGAUUUCAUGAAUGAAGAAUCAUAAUUUGAAUAUACCAAGAGGUUUUGAAAGGUUUUAAGUUUUUGAUAGGUGUGUAUGUGAGAAGGUCCAGACAUCGUGAUGUUAAUCUGCUUAUUUAUAAUUUUAACUUGCAGUAUAGCGCAUGUAGACUUAUAUUUUAGUUAAACUAAAAACUUUUAUUGUAAAGAUGAUUAUAAAUAUAUGACAUUAUUUUAUUUGAUUUUAAAUGUAUAGUAAACUGCGAGUUGUAUAUGUUUUGUUGAUAUUAUUUAUAUUGUUUAGUAUUUAAAAUUAUACACUUGUAUUUUGAUUGUUAAUUUUAAAGUUUCACCUGUAGUAUACCAUCUUGUAUUAAAAUCGAUUUAAACCCGUCAAUUCUACGAUUUUCCAGCUUGUAUUAAAAAUUGAAUCACAUCAUACACAUAAGAAAAU